RNAcentral lists this ribosomal RNA (815 nucleotides) under uncultured bacterium. RNAcentral describes it as "bacterial SSU rRNA". It matches the Rfam family "Bacterial small subunit ribosomal RNA", at positions 27 to 857 of the family's 1533-position model. The record is from RNAcentral.
GGACGAACGCUGGCGGCGUGCUUAACACAUGCAAGUCGAGCGGAAAGGCCCUUCGGGGUACUCGAGCGGCGAACGGGUGAGUAACACGUGAGUAACCUGCCCCAGACUUUGGGAUAACCCUCGGAAACGGGGGCUAAUACCGGAUACGACUUGCUCUCGCAUGGGAUGCAAGUGGAAAGUUUUUCGGUUUGGGAUGGGCUCGCGGCCUAUCAGCUUGUUGGUGGGGUGAUGGCCUACCAAGGCGACGACGGGUAGCCGGCCUGAGAGGGCGACCGGCCACACUGGGACUGAGACACGGCCCAGACUCCUACGGGAGGCAGCAGUGGGGAAUAUUGCACAAUGGGCGGAAGCCUGAUGCAGCGACGCCGCGUGAGGGAUGACGGCCUUCGGGUUGUAAACCUCUUUCAGCAGGGACGAAGCGCAAGUGACGGUACCUGCAGAAGAAGCGCCGGCCAACUACGUGCCAGCAGCCGCGGUAAGACGUAGGGCGCGAGCGUUGUCCGGAUUUAUUGGGCGUAAAGAGUUCGUAGGCGGCUUGUCGCGUCGACCGUGAAAACUUGGGGCUCAACCCCAAGCCUGCGGUCGAUACGGGCAGGCUCGAGUUCGGUAGGGGAGACUGGAAUUCCUGGUGUAGCGGUGAAAUGCGCAGAUAUCAGGAGGAACACCGGUGGCGAAGGCGGGUCUCUGGGCCGAUACUGACGCUGAGGAGCGAAAGCGUGGGGAGCGAACAGGAUUAGAUACCCUGGUAGUCCACGCUGUAAACGUUGGGCGCUAGGUGUGGGGGACCUCUCCGGUUCUCUGUGCCGCAGCUAACG